GGGGGAAUAUUUUAGUGGUAGAAUUCUGGUCUCCAAAACCAGAGGCGAGGGUUCGAUUCCUUCUUCCCCUG
Molecule: transfer RNA, 71 nt
Filed under: Patescibacteria group bacterium
Lineage: Bacteria
Description: tRNA-Trp
Rfam family: tRNA
About the family: Transfer RNA (tRNA) molecules are approximately 80 nucleotides in length. Their secondary structure includes four short double-helical elements and three loops (D, anti-codon, and T loops).
Source: RNAcentral